AGCGAACGUUAGCGGCAGGCUUAACACAUGCAAGUCGAACGCGAAAGCCCUUUCGGGGGCAAGUAGAGUGGCGCACGGGUGAGUAACACGUAGGUAACCUGUCCUUGUGUCGGGGAUAACCACUGGAAACGGUGGGUAAUACCGGGUAGAGCUGUGACUUUUAAUUAGGUUACAGGGAAAGCUGAAAAGCGCACGAGGAGGGGCCUGCGUCCCAUCAGCUAGAUGGUAAGGUAACGGCUUACCAUGGCAACGACGGGUAGCUGGUCUGAGAGGAUGAUCAGCCACACUGGGACUGAGACACGGCCCAGACUCCUACGGGUGGCUG
Molecule: ribosomal RNA, 325 nt
Filed under: uncultured Pseudomonadota bacterium
Lineage: Bacteria; Pseudomonadati; Pseudomonadota
Description: bacterial SSU rRNA
Rfam family: Bacterial small subunit ribosomal RNA
Source: RNAcentral